CCAUCCCUGUUUAUACAUAUAUUAUAAUUUUUAUUAAGUAUUAGCAUAAAUAUUAAAGACUAUAGUCUAUAGCUAUGACUGGCUUGUGCAAAAUAUUGUAAAAAAAUAAAAUGUUCAAAAUAGGAUCAGUAGGUGUAGGUAGUUCUAGAAAUAAUUACCUUCAACAAAUAAACACAUAUAGGUACAACUUUACCUUGAAUCAUUUGGGAAAAAUAAACUAAACUAAUAGUUUACAAACUACGUUUCUAAUUGUAUAUUAUUAAUCCUUUAACAAAAGCAUUAUAUGUGCUACAUGGAGACAAAUUUGUUUGUCUGUAAUUUCUACUCCCAAAUAAAGCAGUUCACAAAUCGUUAAACUGAUUAAACAAUAUUGUCUUCUGCAAACCUCCUACUAUAGCAUUGAAAGGGUGGUUAAAUUCCAUUAAGUUCCACUAAAUAUUAUUUAAUUUUUUUUCAGGUUUAAUAAUUUUAUUAUAUCCAAAUCAUGUAAGAUACCUAGCUGCUACCUUAAUUAUACAGGCUUAUGAAAAUGAAGGAAAAAUAAAACAGGCUCUUAUAGGAAUUAUAACUAAUAAUACUUCUAAAAAUUAGUAAAUAUCUCAAGUUCUCAAAAAACAAAUUAAUCAACCACAUUUACUAUACUGAACAGUUUGAAAAUAUUGAAUUGAAAUAUACUAUAUAUAUACCUACUAGAACACAUUAUGUAUUUAA
This is a non-coding RNA of Cinara cedri, 711 nucleotides long. NCBI's taxonomy places the organism in Eukaryota, Metazoa, Arthropoda, Insecta, Hemiptera, Aphididae. The record is from the annotation of a GenBank genome assembly.